UUGGUUAAGCUAAUAAGAGCGCAGGGUGGAUGCCUUGGCACUAAGAGCCGAUGAAAGACGUGAUAAGCUGCGAAAAGCUUCGGGGAGGAGCAAAUAUCCAUUGAUCCGGAGAUAUCUGAAUGGGGAAACCCGGCUGAGAAGACCUCAGUCAUCCAUACGCCAAUACAUAACGUAUGGAAGGGAACCCGCUGAACUGAAACAUCUAAGUAGGCGGAGGAAGAGAAAGAAACAUCGAUUCCCAAAGUAGCGGCGAGCGAAAUGGGAAGAGCCCAAACCAGAGUGCGUGCACUCUGGGGUUACGGACUGCAUAAGUGAGCUGAUUCGUUAAUGGAACGGUCCUGGAAAGACCGGCCAGAGAGAGUGAAAGCCUCGUACAUGAAAACGAUARGCAGCGGCAGGAUCCAGAGUACCGCGAGACACGUGGAACCUUGCGGGAAUUCGGGGGGACCACCCCCCAAGGCUAAAUACUCCUUAGUGACCGAUAGCGCAUAGUACUGUGAAGGAAAGGUGAAAAGGACCCCGGGAGGGGAGUGAAAGAGAACCUGAAACCCUGUGUUUACAAGCUGUGGAAGCACGUUAAGGUGCAACCGCGUACUUUUUGUAGAACGGUCCGGCGAGUUGCGGAUGCUGGCGAGGUUAAGGAGUAAAGCUCCGGAGCCGAAGCGAGAGCGAGUCUUAAUAGGGCGUAAAGUCAGCAUGUGCAGACCCGAAACCGGGUGACCUAUCCAUGUCCAGGUUGAAGUUCCCGUAAAAGGGAAUGGAGGACCGAACGCACAUCCGUUGAAAAGGGUGGCGAUGAGGUGUGGAUAGGGGAGAAAUUCCAAUCGAACCCGGAGAUAGCUGGUUCUCCUCGAAAUAGCUUUAGGGCUAGCCUCGUAUUAGUUUAGCGGAGGUAGAGCACUGAAUUUCCUAGGGGGCGUCAAAGUCUACCGAAGAAUAUCAAACUCCGAAUGCCGCAUAAAUGAUGUACGGGAGUCAGACUGCACGAGAUAAGUUGGGUAGUCAAAAGGGAAAGAGCCCAGACCUACAGCUAAGGUCCCAAAGUGUGUGUUAAGUGGAAAAGGAUGUGGGAUUUCGAAGACAACUAGGAUGUUGGCUCAGAAGCAGCCACACAUUCAAAGAGUGCGUAAUAGCUCACUAGUCGAGAGGUCCUGCGCCGAAAAUGUCCGGGGCUAAAACACAACACCGAAGCUUAGGAAUGUAAUUAUACAUUGGUAGAGGAGCAUUCUUAAAGAGACGAAGCAGUACCGAUAAGGAGCUGUGGAUUUUUAAGAAGAGAGAAUGCCGGAAUGAGUAGCGAGAUGGAGGUGGGAAUCCUCCAGGCCGAAUAUCUAAGGUUUCCAGAGUAAAGCUGAUCUGCUCUGGGUAAGUCGGGRCCUAAGGCGAGGUCGAAAGACGUAGUCGAUGGAUAACAGGUUGAAAUUCCUGUACUGCAUAUCAUCAGAACUGUGGGGACACAGAGAGAUACCGGAACCUGGGAAUGAAGAUACCAGGGCAAGCGAGGUAGGUGCUARGCUGGCAAAWCCGCYURGUAAGCCGAAGACGUGAUGCGGAGCGAAUUAAAGUAGCGAAGUCCGGGAUUCGAGCUGUCGAGAAAAGCCGCUAUUGUGUGAUAUGUACCCGUACCGUAAACCGACACAGGUGGAUGAGGAGAGAAUCCUAAGGCCGGCGGGAGAAGCAUUGUUAAGGAACUCGGCAAAAUGACCCUGUAACUUCGGGAUAAAGGGUGCCACAGAGAUGUGGCCGCAGAGAAUAGGCUCAAGCAACUGUUUAGCAAAAACACAGGUCUAUGCRAAACCGAAAGGUGAGGUAUAUGGGCUGACGCCUGCCCGGUGCUGGAAGGUUACGAGGAGAGGUUAGAGCAAUCGAAGCUUUGAAUCUAAGCCCCAGUAAACGGCGGCCGUAACUAUAACGGUCCUAAGGUAGCGAAAUUCCUUGUCGGGUAAGUUCCGACCCGCACGAAAGGCGUAAUGAUUUGAGCGCUGUCUCGACAAUGCACCCGGUGAAAUUGAAAUACCAGUGAAGAUGCUGGUUACCUGCGCCAGGACGGAAAGACCCCAUGGAGCUUUACUCUAGCUUGAUACUGGGAUUCGGUACUGCAUGUACAGGAUAGGUGGGAGACUUUGAUGACAGGACGCCAGUCUUGUCGGAGUCGCUGUUGGGAUACCACCCUUGUGGUACUGGAUUUCUAACCAACCUCCGUGACCCGGAGGUGGGACAAUGUCAGGUGGGGAGUUUGACUGGGGCGGUCGCCUCCGAAAGGGUAUCGGAGGCGCUCAAAGGUUCCCUCAGAAUGGUUGGAAACCAUUCAAAGAGUGCAAAGGCAGAAGGGAGCUUGACUGCGAGACYGACGGGUCGAGCAGGUACGAAAGUAGGACUUAGUGAUCCGGUGGUAGAAAGUGGGAUUGCCAUCGCUCAACGGAUAAAAGCUACCCUGGGGAUAACAGGCUUAUCACUCCCAAGAGUUCACAUCGACGGAGUGGUUUGGCACCUCGAUGUCGGCUCAUCGCAUCCUGGGGCUGAAGUAGGUCCCAAGGGUUGGGCUGUUCGCCCAUUAAAGCGGUACGCGAGCUGGGUUCAGAACGUCGUGAGACAGUUCGGUCCCUAUCCGGCGCGGGCGUAGGAUAUUU
RNAcentral lists this ribosomal RNA (2630 nucleotides) under Clostridium fessum. Its description in RNAcentral is "bacterial LSU rRNA". It matches the Rfam family "Bacterial large subunit ribosomal RNA". The record is from RNAcentral. Lineage: Bacteria; Bacillati; Bacillota; Clostridia; Eubacteriales; Clostridiaceae.